This 462-nucleotide ribosomal RNA is filed under the name uncultured bacterium. Its description in RNAcentral is "partial 16S ribosomal RNA". It matches the Rfam family "Bacterial small subunit ribosomal RNA", at positions 29 to 507 of the family's 1533-position model. The record is from RNAcentral.
AGUGAACGCUGGCGGCGUGCCUAAUACAUGCAAGUCGAACGGAGAUUAGGUAGCUUGCUAUUUACUCUUAGUGGCGCACGGGUGAGUAAUAUAUAGCUAACUUGCCCAUUACUAAGGGACAACAGUUGGAAACGACUGCUAAUACCUUAUACUCCGUAUCUAUAUAAGUAGAUACGGGAAAGUUUUUCGGUAAUGGAUAGGGCUAUAUCGUAUCAGCUAGUUGGUAAGGUAAUGGCUUACCAAGGCUAUGACGCGUAACUGGUCUGAGAGGAUGAUCAGUCACACUGGAACUGAGACACGGUCCAGACUCCUACGGGAGGCAGCAGUAGGGAAUAUUGCUCAAUGGGGGAAACCCUGAAGCAGCAACGCCGCGUGGAGGAUGACACUUUUCGGAGCGUAAACUCCUUUUCUUGGGAAAGAAUUAUGACGGUACCCAAGGAAUAAGCACCGGCUAACUCCGUG